Molecule: transfer RNA, 68 nt
Filed under: bovine gut metagenome
Rfam family: tRNA
About the family: Transfer RNA (tRNA) molecules are approximately 80 nucleotides in length. Their secondary structure includes four short double-helical elements and three loops (D, anti-codon, and T loops). Further hydrogen bonds mediate the characteristic L-shaped molecular structure. tRNAs have two regions of fundamental functional importance: the anti-codon, which is responsible for specific mRNA codon recognition, and the 3' end, to which the tRNAs corresponding amino acid is attached (by aminoacyl-tRNA synthetases). tRNAs cope with the degeneracy of the genetic code in two manners: having more than one tRNA (with a specific anti-codon) for a particular amino acid; and 'wobble' base-pairing, i.e. permitting non-standard base-pairing at the 3rd anti-codon position.
Source: RNAcentral
CAGGUAUAGUGUAGUGGAAACACAUUAGCCUUCCAAGCUGAGGUCACGGGUUCGAGUCCCGUUACCUG